Gallus gallus (chicken) is the source of this 25101-nucleotide long non-coding RNA. RefSeq lists it as uncharacterized. NCBI's taxonomy places the organism in Eukaryota, Metazoa, Chordata, Aves, Galliformes, Phasianidae. The transcript is spliced from 32 exons. The record is from RefSeq and is a predicted model, not a curated record.
UGGAACCAGCUGAAAUGUGCACAGAUGGUUGGCUAGAAGUUAAAUUAGGUCUCUGCUGGCCAGUUUGUUUAAUUAUAUCUGUGAUUGAGGAGAUGCUGCUCAUUCCUAAAAUAUGUAGCAGUGUGUGCCUCUGUACCCAGCACAACUGUCUGCCUACCCUGGGCUGGCAGGGUAGAUCUUGAAACAAGUUGGCACUCUGCUUAUUCCAGAAUAGCUUCUUCCAUGGAGGCUAGGUUUUUACUGAGCGUCAGGAAAAAGCUAAACUAAACAACUAAAGCUUUGAAACAGCUAAGUAUUUGCGAAGUAUUUUUCUUGAAUGUGGGUUAAUAUCAGAGCAGACUUAUUUUGUAUGAUUGUCCAUUUAUCUUCUGAUUUUAAAAAAAGGAUCAGAAAUAUCAGUUCCCUAGGCACUUCAGUCAACUAACUUAAAGCAUAACAAAUCUGGACAAUAAGCACCAUAAUUAGUGUAGGAAGAAAACUGCUACUCCCAAGUAUCUAAUUCAAUAACUAUGAAGAACUAAUGAUUAAUAAUUGUACCAUUGCAUCUGUGGCAUGAUUGCCCUUCAGCACUUUUAAAACACAAAACCAAAAGCCUCGAAGCACGUCCUGGGGGUCAGGCCAUCUUUUUUGAGUCAGUGAGACAAAAACACAGAAAAAGUGCAAAAUCAUUUUGUUAUUUAUUCAGAAUUGGGCCAGCAAAUUUCAGCUGUCACGCUGCAUCUGGUAGCCAGAGGCAGUCUCCUGGUUGGCGGAUCUCAUAGAGCAUGGACCAAGAAUUGCACCUUGGAAACCUGCAGGUAGCUCCUACAUGCUAUGGAACCUAUGCAAAAUGUGUUAAUGAUCACUUGCUCUGCUUCAGAUUCUGCGUAAAUUCUGUCUGGGUUGCUGUCUCGUCCUGUUUCAUUUUGAAGAUGAAUAUAUGCCCCCUCUUAAGAUUUGUAGCAAGCUGACCAAACACUGUCUGAAGAAGAAAAUGCAGGCAAGUUAAUGUGUAAUAUGAAGAAUUGUCAUAUUGCUUACAAAAAACACGCAUGAGAGACUAAGCAUAUGGGAUCAGCAGUAGAGGAAAGAACAUCAUGUACACUAAGAGGUAUAGCUGUACCGCUGACACAAAAUCAUUUAUGUCAUAUCACCCAGGCUAGCACUAUAACAGCCAGGACUCAGUCAUGCUCCUGAUUUUUGCAACAAUAAAUGGCAUUUCAGAUUUCGAGUUUAUUUUCCAUCAUGAUCAUGAUAGACAGCUCUAAGUAAGGGCACAAAUCCAUCUUGCCAAUGUCAGUAGACACUGAACUGAUACAGUAUGCCUAAAGGUAGAGAUUUCCCAGAGGUUAGCUGUGGGGCGCACUCCACUCCAAUAUCAGUCAGUGCACCAAAGUGAAUCAAGGGUACUAUAUUGCUGUUAAAUUAUUGAAUUUUCAACUGAAUAAAUUAAUUCUUUUUUUUUUUCCCACUAGAAGGUUGCUAUCUAUUAUUAAAUUAGUUCUGUAUUCAAAUUCUGCUUUGCAGAAACACUGUUUGAACGUAAUAGGGAAAUGGACUCCUGUGCAAUCUAUAAAACUCUUCUUAGUUUUACUGGAUGGAAAAUAUUAUAAAAAUGUAAACGAUUAAUCGUUUCUCAUCAUAUACCCUGUUUUUUUUUUAUUAUAAGCAAGUGGCUUAAAUAUUUAGAGUGCAGAAUUAAUAGGCUGGAGCAUACUAAAAUAUUGUCACAUACUUGACAAUUCUAGAAACAAAGAAGUUGCUGCUAUGUUUAAAAUAUUAAGUAUAUAUUUUAUAGCUGAAAUUAGUGCUUUUCAAAGUAACAGAUUUUCAUAUUUAAUCAAUAGGAGAACAUAACUUUAUCUGGAAAGAGUAUGUUUUAAGAACUGUGUCGCUUUACUCUGAGCAUUACAUCAUUUACAGAAAUAUUGCAUGAUUGAAGAUUCUUUUAAAAAAUGCAAUUUUUCUAAUAGUUUAAUCAAUUUUGGUUGAUGUCUGUUCUCAAAAACCACAGAAGCGUUGAGAGCCGUUAUGGUAAAAUAUUAAUAAGAAUGCUUUCAAUCUACUGUGCAUAGACAAGAACUGUUAGCUCGAGAGGAAGCUGUCAAAACUGUGACGUAGUACAAGUGGUAGCUAAACAAAAAAGGGAGUGCUAAACAAAACUAUAUGCAAAGCAGAACUGAAUUGACAAUUCUAUAACGGUCUCUGUGUGCAUGAAAGCCAAACUGAAAGUUAUGGAUGAAAUUUAAAAUAGCAGAUCUGGGACUGUUGUAACUGUUGUGCUGAGCUACUAUCGUAAACGUUUCAUUCAGUUCAGCCUUCCAGGGUACCACAUGAUGAAGUUUAGGUGCUCUUACUGCAUUCAAAGCUGCACUCUCACCUAGGUCGAUUACUCUUGGCAAUGUUGCCAAGUCUUGUCGAAUCCUAAAAGGGAGCAGCAGGUUUAGGGAAGAUGAAGUGUUAGAUGUGAGUAACUCCAGUGGAUAUUGGUGGAUUUAGAGUUUUUUGUGAAAUGUAAAAGGAAUGUGGAGUGAUAUCAUGUCUCAUGAUUCAUGUGACUGUGAAGAAAUGAGCAAGAGAACAAGGUGCACAAAAAUUUGAAUGUGUAUGCAUCAGAUGACAAAUAAGGCAACCCUCUGUUGCUACUCAGAUUCACUGCUCGUCUGUAGUUCAGUAAAAUACUUAGCACAAACAUUGAAAAGCUUGAUAAAUUUGGAAUUUUUGGACCUUUUACUAUUCCUGUACUAUUAAAACUUUACAGAGAUUGGGUUAAAUUCAGCUCUACUCCUCCGCCACCUUAUAUAUAUGUUUUAUGCUAACUCCUUGAUUUGUCAACAAAUUUUGAGGCCUCAUUGUACUGUGUUAGAUAAUGACUACACACCAUUCUGUGCGAUAAAGAGUUUGAGAUGACAAAGCUUUGGAAGGGGAAAUAGAGAUGAAUGGCUUGUCCAGUGUUGUUCAGGAGACUGCACUUUUGUCCAGGUACUCUGUAGCUUGUAUGAUUGGGUUGUGUGUUAAUUACUUAAUAAAUUCCAACUCUGUGCACUGGAAAAAAGCUUUGGCCACUUCAGCAAAAAAUACUGAAUCCGUAUAAAAAACUCUACAGUUUCUAAUAAGAUUUUAAGUUGACGAGUUAGCUUUGUACCAGCUAGUUUAUGCUGAAUGGACAAUAUCUUGCAAUAUCUUGUCCUUCGUAGCCAGAAUAAAGUUCAGAAUAAAGUCUAAAGCCAGCCUGAAUUUCAGGAUUUCUGCAUUCGGUGACUUGAAAAAUGCAACUGUAUAAUGCAUAGUUCAGAUCCACAAAAUUCUUCUUACAGGCAAUAAUUAGUGGAGAGCACUUUAAGCACUUUGUACACAAUGGAUAGCAAUUUCAGUUUUCCGUGUAUAUUGUAAUUUUAUGAAAAUAGUUUUGAACUAAAAUCAUGACAUUCUUAUAAGCAAGUAUUGCCUCAAGUAGCAUGAGAAAUGACAGAAUUAAAUUUAAAAUGUUUUGAAGCAAAAAUCCCAAUAUAGUAAUGGAGAAAAAAGCAGUUCAGAAAAGGCAAGAAAAGCAGUGCGCAAAGGUCACUGAUAUGUUUUGGUUUAAAAAUAACUUGCCCUUUUUUGAGCACAAGGAGAAAGGAAGGCAGUAUAAAGGCAUGUUAUGUCACUGGUUUGACUUAUGGCAUGGUCACAGACAACAGCAUGAGUGCAACUUGUGCCUGUGGCAAACUACAGCUUGUUUCAGGAGAGGCCUGGGCUGGUACUUCUGACAAAGUUCUGUGUAAUCACUGUCAUGGACUGGCUGCUGCAGCAAUGUGGGUAAGGCAGGGGCCAAUGGUUUGAUUUCACCAUCUCUAAUUAUCAUGAGAUCCUCCAAGAAUGCUUUAAAGUGACUGAUUCAUGAAUAUGGAGGUGUGACUAGUGUCCAAGUACGAUCUCAGUUUAGCUUUGAAAAUUGUGUAGCUGCAGCUGCCAGGGAAAUGGCUGUGAACGUGCUUACUGUGCAUCUUGAAAUGAUAAACUGGAAGAAAAAUAAAGGAUUCAUUUUAAGGCCACUGUGAAAUCCUGAUGCUUAUGACACACAGUAAUUUCUAGAAGCAUUGAAUUUUGCUUCAGUACUAAUAUACUAUUCUGUGAAACUUAACACCUUGAAGAAUUGGUUGUGUCCUAGUUGCCCUUGUCACAUUUCCUUUCUUAGUAUAAUUUAGCUAAGCAGUCUAGCUUCUAAUUUUCUUUUGUUUCAAAUAGAAGUGUGAAUGUCCUCCAAGAUAUGAUUGAAUGGGUCUCCCAUGCAGGAGAGAUAAGAGGCCUGGCUACAUCCACCUUAUCUGGAGGAAUAAGUCUUCUUCGCAAAAGAACUAAGGCUUCAUGCAGUAAGAUCUUGCAAAAUAAAACACAGAUUCACUAGAAGUGAGAGGCUGCUGGUUUUGAUGGAAAUAACAAGAAACCUGAAGUGAAGGGUUGGGAAAAUGGGAGAGGACCACACUGAGUAAACUUGGAACUAAAUUUGUAGUGACUAUUAGCUGUAAACAAGCAACUGGCUCCAGUCCCAUGCUGUCAGAAGUCUGUAGUAUGUUUUACCUUAGUCAGCAUAAAUCAGCUGCCUGGUCAAGUUCAUUAAAAAUAGAUUUAAAGCCUAUUAUAAAUGUUCUGCAUCUCACACACAGAAUCUUAAAGAAUACUAAAGGAUCCUGCUGAAAUCUUGGGCAUUUAUUUCAUAGAAACUGGAUGGAUGUUGACUGCUGGCUGCUGGAUGCUCUGUGAUGAACAGUAAAUGGCUUGGAUUAAGAAGUGGCUAAAAAUUAUAAUUGAUGUGUGAGGAAAAAUAACUAGUUAAGUUUUUAAUAACACCAAUGGAAACAGUGCAGCAUUCCAGAGAACAGCUUUGGAAGCUGCCAGAAUCCAACAUACCAAUACCUUGUGUGGGCCUUUCCACUUGAAGGGCGGCAAACUGGUGAAAGUUGCCCACAGCUUUAGAGCAAAUCUUUGAAGUCUUACUGCCACAGAAUCUCAACACCAAAUCUGCAGUUUAAAUGUUUAAUUUAGUUUGAAAGCUAUCUGAUUUUCAUCAAUCACCAAGCAACAGAAAUAAAAGUGCAUUCUGUCAUUUCUUUAUCAAUUAUCCAUGAGAGAAGUGGGAAGUGCCAUCCCUACAGCAAAUUACCUUGCAGAGUUUGCAAGAUGUACAUGUAAUUAAAGCAUAGUAACCUCCUCUGUCUCUCAGAGGACAGCUCAGGAACAGAGGAUGUAGCUUCUCUAACGUGCCUCUUUCCUAACUAGGACACAAGAACAAGCAUAAUCAUUAUGUUUAGCAGUGGCUGACAGUAUUGAUGCUUGUGGCUGCACUGCAGUUAUCUUUAGAACCUGUAGCAGAAAUGACCUACCUAAUUUCCCAGACAUCCUUUCCUUAAGGGCUGGGUAGAUCUGGAUGUCUCUGUGUGAAAAAUCAUGUGUAUUAUCUAAUUCUGCAGGUAGCUGAAGGGAGUAAAUUUAUACCUCCCAGUCUGCUGUCCUCUACAUACACUGAAUUAUGUUGACAGGAACUACUGAAAGCUACAAUGCGAUGCAGUUAUUGCUCAGCUUUAGAACUUAGCAAAAUGCUUUAGAACAGCAAGUGAAAUAUCUAGUUAAUAUUUUAGAGAAAAUGCUUACCUCAAAUAUAGUGUACUUAGAGAAUUAACUAACUUUGAUUUCAUUGUGAAAAAAAAAAAUGCUCUAACAUCUUUAAUAACCUCAGAGGUUGAGGACUUCAGUUUUACUGUGUCAAAAUGCUGACUGAGCCUUUCCUCAGGAUCAGUUCAAAAGCAAGAGCACAACUUGCUUUGAUCAGAGACAUCAUCCUAAUUAUUUUAUGCUUCUAGCAAAGUCUGCAUUGCCUUGAUAACUGCAAUUGGCAAAUUUACCCUUCCUUCCUCCAUCAUGCUACAAAAAAUACUUACUUUACACAUAUAAUUCAUGAGCUAUGAUAAAUGAUCUCCUACACUUUGUGGUCUUACCUCUGACUAAGAGACUAAGGUUUACAGUAUACUGAUAGAAAGAACUUCAUUGCUAUGUAUUCUGGAAGAAAGAAGAGAAAAGAAAAAACAGUUCUCCCUAUGUAUUAUGUACCUGGGUCAACCACCUCAGAUUUCUGAAAAUUGCAAAUUAUAUAUCUGUACUGUAACUGUUGAGUCCCAGCCUGAUCCACUGAUUGAGCACCUGGGGAAAGGACCCGGUCAGCCCUGGGAGCACAGGUGAAGGCAAUUCAGCUGUGCGACCAGAUGGGGUGGAGCCUGGCUGCACCUCUCUUAGACCCCAUUUAAGGGCUGACUGCCCUGAAAAAGAAUCUCUGGUUGGAAAUUCCUUCUUUGUGGGUUCUUUCUUGCGAACCUAGAAUUUCAGAGACAGCAAUUAUGUUUCUUGACUGUCCUGGGGAGCUCUAGAGCCUUCAGUGAGGAACAGGGAACAGAAGCUGCCUGGGGAAUCCUUUGACUGGUGAAUAUCUGCUGCUGCAGAGAGGAUCUCAAAUGUACACCACUCAUAAAUCCCAGGAUAAAAUCAAACAGGACUCUGGAGAUGCCAUGUUCUGCUACACUACAGUGCUUCAUAAAACUAUCUGAGAUGUGUCCGUGCUGAUUCUCAUGGUCUGCAAUUGGUGUCUUUCAACAAAACUGCUACCUACAUUGUCAUCUGGAGGAAACCCAGAGCAAUCACAACGAAAUACUUCUUAGAGGAAUAAAAGAGAAAGAGGUGGGAUGUAUAUAGCAAGCCAGACUGGAAGUAGAGUAAUAACAAAGUAUACAAGUGUGAUGUUUUGAAUAAGAUCUUCAGAUUCUCUAAUUCAUAAACACCUCCCAUGGCCUGCUCCCCAAGACAUAUGUCAGAUUUUAGAAAAUGAGGAGGUUUUUGCUAUAAAGCCUGCAGAAUCAGUGGCAAUUGUUUCAUAGUCACCCAAUCAACGCUGUUUCUACGGCCACUGGAAAUGGCCAAGAUAAACAAACACCGCUCACGCUGCUUCUUCUUGUGCUCCGCUACUGCAGAGGUGAACUCUCAGCCAGGAUGUAUGCUAAGUAAGGAAAAACAUUAGCUGUUAUUUUAAGAUGGAAUGGACAACUGAUACUGACAGAACCUCUUUUGGACUUCAGGCAUGUUGCACCUAACUGAUAGCUCAUCAGUGUUCUAUAAGGGACCUAAUACUGUGUGCUCAGCAAGGCUUGGUCAAAUAUUGGUAGCCAAGAGCCAGAUUUUCACUGAGAGAACUAAUGAACGGAUGUUUCACUGAAAGAAGUUGAAGCAGAAGUUAAACUGAGAAAGUGCUGCACGUCAAAUAUCAUCCUUUCUUGUACGAAAAAUAAUACCACUGGAUUUGACAGCUCUGCUCUGAACCAUCUCUUUCAUCAGUGCUCUGAAUGCUGGAUGGAACACUCAGCAAGUCCAAUACAAGAAAACCCCUGGGGGUUUUCUCAUCUGAGAUUGGAAAGCUGAAAGUUGCAAAAGAUGCAGUAGUGGCAGACCCACUACAGUUCUGAGGCUCUGUGCCCUUUGAUCCCAUUAUUAGAAGGAAUAUCCUCUCUCAGACAUGAAAGAUGAGGCAGAGGAACCUACAGCAGGCAAGGCAAGCUUCAGCCUAAAAAAUGCAGUGCGAAAGUGAGAAGCAAGAUUUUUCUAAGUACUCCGUCCCCAUGGGUAUCUCUGUGAUUGAAAGAAGACUUCAGUGAACUGAAGAGGCAUGACUCUGCUUCAGUGACAGAAUCUUUAGAAUAGCAGAUCAGAAUUUACAGCCAGGUCCCAGAAUCAAGUACAACUGCAGUGGUAAGCCAGGAUGAUUCGUGCUGCUGUGUAAUGAGAGAAAUCAUGCAUCUUUGGCUAUUCAUGGGCCUGAAAUACAGCCUCCUGCAGCUGAUAAGGUAUAAUGGCUUUCAGUGAGCUUCAGCACCUCUGAACUGAAUGCAGCGGAGACCCAACAUGACUGAAGUUUCCAAGUCCAACUGUAAGCAGGAACGCUUCACAGGGAAGGCAGCCCAGGUGUCAAGACCCAACAAGCACAAUGCUUCCAUCAGCUUUCCGGGAGCAUGACUGGUUGGAGAUCAUACAUGUUUGUCUGGGAAAGCUAAAGGUUUGAAGACAAAUGUCUUUUAAAAAGUAUGGAAACUCCAGAAUUUUGCCUAAUGUUAUUCUGCCCUAAUCCAGUUUAUUUGAAGUGCAGGUGGGAUUGGAAGCUUGUACUUGGUUACAAAUGUUCUUCUGCCUCUUACUUGCAUUUUUCCUUAUCAAUGCCUAACUUACUGUCCACUGUCGCAGUGCACUGAAGAUGCUGAAAAGGAGAAUGCCAAUAGGAAGCUUCACAGGAGGUGUUUGCUAUCAGUAGAGAGACUGAAAAAAGGGGAGUACGAGUAUGUAGAUGGAAACAUAAAGUGAGAUUUAGUUGUGGAUGAGUAAAUAAAAAUACACUAAAAGCUGGCAAAAUGAGGCUCGCAGGACAGCUCCCCUUCUCCCAGACACAUUUCAUCUCAGAUACAGAUUCAAAACUGUACCCAGGAUGACAGUUGCAGACUUCACUGGUACCCCCACAGCAUCUUCAAUGCAGGUUGAUGCCAGUGGUGACAGCCCAGAGCUCGGCGCAAGCUUUUUCAGACACUUUCUUGGAUAUCCUUUUUUCUUCAAGACAAACGAAUGGAGAAAAACAGAAAACUCCAGACUGUCACUGCAUUCACCAGGCUGGACUCUCAUCCAAGAUGUCAUUUCUCUCGAGCUGCUUGUUGGUGUACGGGAACUGUUGAAUCACGGCCUGAACCUCUGAUUGAUCACCUGAGGUGAGCACCGAGUCAGUCACGGGUUUAGGAGUUUUCUUGUGAGCCUACAACACCGAAAUGAAACAGAAAAGGCCUGCUGUAGGCGUACAAAAAUACGUUCAAGGAUUUCUAGAGGAUAGAGAACCUCUCUGAAGCCUUCAAGACAAUACGUCUGAGUGCAUCACAACAUAAAAUCUAUCGAUCUAUCACCCAUCUGCUCCUGCUAAUAUCCCACUGAAAAUGAAGAAUAUAUUCAGCUGCUUCUUCUAUACAAUGUGACACAGCGACACUUGCAUGAAAAGUGGGUUCAACUCAGAGACCUGCCAGUGGCCACCGUCUGGAGCACGAGGAGACACCUGCAGUGCCUUUAAAGCUUACUCAUCAAAUUGCACAGACAUCCUCCUGACAUAAGGGGCACGACAUGAGGGGUGGGCACUCACACAGCCUGCCCUGUGCCGUGCUGCCCUCCUGUGCCGUGCUGCCCUCCCGGGAGCCCGCUGCCUGCAGAGGGAGGAAAGGCCCUGAGGCAUUGCUCUAGCCAAACCUCCCCACUCAAUUCUCUCAGGUAUGGCGGCUGUUUAAAAGUGAAUGGCAGUAAUUAGUACUUCCUAACUGCUCUCAUUUUCCUCAACUGUCAUGUCCAGAUUUGCUGUUUUCAGCUCAGACACGCUGGCAAAAGGGACGCUUAUGGAAGGUCAGCGCCAAGUCCAAAUCUCUUCAGGCUGCCAGUUGUUUUGCUUGGAGGCUCAUCUCUACCCUGGCCUAGCAGAAGAAUGAAAACCUGACAAAUCUGAUUAGUCUUUCUUCAGCCCUCAAGUAUGUUACUUUUCCUGCUAUAAAAAUGGAAACUUGAGGCUCUGGUUGUGCAAAAAUUACUUUAGAAAGGAAACGGCGACUUGAGCUGUGUCAGCAGCACUGCCAGUCAGGCGGAGGAGCCAAGCCGUGGACACCCAGGCCUGUGCUGGAGCUUGGUGUGUGGUGCCUGCUGACUGCGGUGCUGGUGGCCUGGUGGGACCAGGUGGGAGCUGGGCUGACCUGGGAAGCCCCUGUGGGAAUUUAGACUACUGCUGUGUCGGGCAGUCUCUGGCACAGGCACACAAGUGCCAGCAGAAGCGGGGCUCUCCAGACAGGUUUUCAUUUCUAAGACACUGGAUGCAGAAGCAUUUGGAAAAUAGUGAAAAAGCAGGAUCUUAUCUGCCGAUUUUCAUUAGUAAAGAUUAAAAGCUGGUUUAGGUUAGCCUAAUUACUUACUUAUAUAGCAUUAUACAUUUCCAAGUCCAUACAAGAAGCACAGUGUCAGCUGCUUUGCCUGAGCUACUGCGUUUGGUGUUUGGAGACCACCCACAUCCUUUGGUUAAUAUGAUGGGAGUUUGCUGGGCACGUGGCCGCUAGGCUAUCAACUCAGAGGCGGGAUUUAUAUGAAGAGAUAUAUGAGAAAUGCUUUCUAAAUUAGCAGUGGGUUUAUUAUUCGGCAGGAAUACCCUGGCCGUGGAUCUUUAACAAGAAUUGAGCUGUGGUUUUGUUCUACGUUUGUACAGAAAUAUGAUGCGCAUAAUUAUAUAAUGGCAGCAGCAGACAGCUUUUUGUCCACCAGAGGAUGCACACCUGGAGCACACCUUCACAAGAGCACUGCUAGCUAUCCAUGCCCUUUAAGACAUUUGUGUCUGCCGUUGACACUGUACUCUGCCACAGUCCUGGCUCCAGCUGAGCUACAGCCUCCACCUCAGUCUUUAUUCACAUGAUGGAGGUACAGCAUAUUCGAUAUGUCCUAUGAAUUUACUGCCGUGAAACUGCAGUCUUAUCAAGUUUUCUUUUCCUUUAUUUCACUCUGUCUUUAAAAAAAGAAAUGGUUUUAAAAUCUCUUGAUUUUCAAUGUCAAAUCAUUUUUUUUAUAUGUUACAUUGCUGCUUGUUCCUCUUAUGUACAGCUCACAUCUGAGACAAGCCAUAAGUCAUACUACUUGAUUUCACCUCUCCUUAUGGAUACAGCGGUGACAGAUUUCUUUAAAAUGUAAUUUGAGUCCAAAAACUUUUGACUGAGGAGGAUUUAAAACCAAACAACCAAACAAAAAAACAAAAACAGAGAUAUUUCAUCUCUGUUGCCUAAUAUCUCUGCUUAGCCUGAGAUAACUUUGAUCCCAAUUCUUUCAGUUCUUUACUGGACAAAAGCUGAGACGGACUUGGUUCUACUGCUUUUGAUGUUUAUUUGAUGAGAGACUACUUUCUUGACAUAGCUACAUGGAGCUUUAAGAAACACUUCAAAUUAUCAUCAGAAAGCUACUUUUUGGUUUUCUCUAAUUUAAAGAACAAGUGACCCAUAUUUCACGUCUGUCAUUGUCAUAAAAUAAAAGCAGAGUGGAAAAGUUCCAUAAAUUGAACUCCCCGCACAUGGCAUCUUGGCAUCUCCCGAAGAAACUGUAAGGAGCCAGUGUUUCCUGAUUUUUUCUAGUAUUGAAGAAAAAAAUGAAAUGAAUUAUGCAAGUUUCCACCCAUUCUGGCUGAUAACUGAUACUGAAAAAAAAAGAGAAUUUAUCCCCCCCACUCCCCCCCCAAAAAAGCACAAAUACCUAAGGAAAGGAAAAGAAGGAAAGUAAGAAGGAAAGAAAGAAAGGAAGAAAAAAAUAUAUGUUGAACCAUUAAAUAGAUCAGCUUUAGCUGAGUACUUAGUACCCAAAGUGCAAACAGCUUAUACUUCUGUUACUGUCACUAGCUGCCAUUGGAAAAGUCUACCCUUAACCAUCUCCCUCAAGCAAGAAAAAAAAAAGUGGUUUUUUUUUAUUUUGUUUUAGGUUUGUUUCUCUGUUUGUUUUGUUUUUACUAUUCAACUACUUAAUUAUUUAUCUUCCAUUUACUUUUUAUUUCCAGUAUAAAUUAAAUUCCCUGCAGUAGAUCCAGGGAAUAGCUGACAUCUUUAAACAAACAACAAAAAGCACACUAGUCUGCAAGAGCUGAUUUCUUUUGUUUCCAUUUGUGGAGCAGGCAAAUUAUACACUGCAGUUUGAACAAAUCUAUUCAUGUGAUUUCAUCAAAGAUCUUCAUUUGUGGUGGUAAGUUCCACCACACCACUUGAUAUGAGACAUUUCUGGCUCCCAGAGGGUGAAGGAGAUGACAUUUUUGUAAGAGGGGCUGGCUACAUGCACGCUUGUUCUCGCACUGGCAAAAAACUAGUAAAUGCCAAACUCACAGGGUUUGAGAUUGUAUAUAUGUACAUAUAUAUAUAUUAACCACAGACUUGUUUCUUCUCUGAAGGAAUCAAAAAGAAGCUUGCUGGAAGCAUUUUUCCACUCAUUUGUGUUAUGUUUUAUAGGUCACAGAGGCUAACUUUAUAGGUUCCACUUACCCUCAGUCAGCAAGAUUUGUUCCAUAAGAAAAGUGACACUGUGCCCUUGUCUAAAUACACAUUCAGUAAAAAGACUUUUUGCAGGCAAAGUUUAAAAUUGCACAAGAAAUCUGAUUAAGAGAUUUAUCCAACACUCAGACUCAAGACCGAAGCACAGUGAGUUGUAGGAGCGUUGCAGGAGAAUGGAUGGAACCUUCAUUUCAGAAGCGAGUUGCCUUCGUGGGGUGAAGGACAUCCUGUGGUUACAGGGAUUCUGUCUCUAUAUCAACAUAGCCUAGGAAGUGUCUCCUUAAGAAGCCCCUACAGCUGCUCCAGAGCCAACAGACUCGAUGGCUGCGUCAGCAACAUGGUGGUCCUGCUCGGUCCUUAGGUGCAGAUAUUUAAUAUUAAAUAUAGACUUGAUGAGUGUUGUCAAGCCCCUAGAACCAGCAAAGCCAAAUCUCUUCAAGGAAAGCCUUGAGGGAGCACCAGGGUAGGGAAGGUUGUAGGAAAAUGAAUUGCCCUCAAGGAAAUGUGUGAGGGAGCUCCAAGCACUCCGUAACACAGAGAGGAAGUCAUUAGAUGCCAUUAGAUGCCAGCAGAUCCCGUCAGCCCAAGGUGCUCUUUCAGUCACCUCUCCAUGAAACAAGAACAUAGAAUGUGGGGAAAAGUUAGUGUUUGAAGCACGCUGUGUUUCUUUUUAAAAAAUAUUUCUUAGAUAGCACUGUUUAUACACCUGAAUUUUUUUAUCCUUAUGUACAGGGUUUUACUGCCACAAGAGCGGAUUUUCAACAUAAGUAUUUUUUCAUUAAUUGUUGUGAGAUAAAGGAUAACAUGUUUUUCAAUAGAUAGCUCUUUUUUUUUUCUCUGAGUAUUACUUUAGAUUAGUGGCAGCCUAAUUGCUGCUGUUUGUCAGAAAGCUAAUUUGAUCAAUCCCAGAGAAGGCAGAUCCAUGGCCAUCCAUUGCUGGAUAUUGAAAAUGCUGGUUUGAAGAGGUUAUAAAUCCAUGUUAUGUGAUCAAGCUGAAGGUUCAAGGAAUAGCCACGCUGAAAAAUAAGUGGUUAUAUUCGUGCUACAGUCUUGAGAUCAUUUCUAAGCUGGUCCCUCUAGAGUCUGACUUAAGAGCUGCUUAUAACCUUAUGAAAUUUGAUAAAGCAAUCAUACAGAUCUCUAAAUUUUCUAAUGUUAAGAGAUAAAUGUGUAGAUUGACAGAGAAAGUUUAAAAAAAAAUCAGAGAAAGUUAUUUUUUCUGGGUCUUUUCUGGGAGAUGUAAAAAUGUGAACUUCCCUCUAAUUAGACAUUCUAGGAGAGCUUUUAACCCAUUUGCUUCCCACUGUUAGAAACUUCUCAGGACCCCUGACAUUCUCUAUAUCUUACUCCGAGAAAAUAAUUGUGUGUGGCCUGUGUUAAAGAUCACAUGUUCUGAUAAUAUACUUUCUCAUUAACGUCUUCAGGAAUAUCCUUUUGUAUCCAAGACUCAAGUAUAUGCACAUCUGCACAGCUUUGCAAAAGCUGUAGGAAGGAAGCAUCCGUGUUUGGACAGAGCUGUUAGCUGGCUUGCCUGUCACACAGCUCAAGUAGCAGGUUCUCUGCAUGCAGUGCUAACUUCCAUGUCAAAGUGUUAAUUAAUCGUAAUGCAAAGGUCACCUCCCUACAACUGGAAUUUCUCCCCUGUGCAGAAAAGCAGAGAGAAUCAGUGAUGCAGAAGAGCAUACUAAAAUCGCCAUAAAUACAAGAAGCAGGCUUGUCUAUUCCCCGAGUUUCUCACAAAAAAAUAGGAUGAACACUUUGCAUGCUGGAGUACAAGUUCUCACAGAUUACAUGCACAGACAGAUCCUGCUGAAGAAUGAGAAUCUCUGUGUACUUCAUAAAAAUUUACUGAUUUGUAUUUCCUAUAAAGUUUGUAAAUGGGUAACAAAGUGGAAAAAGGAAUGUGAUAGAGCCAUUUCAACUCCUCCUGGGAAGAAACACACAAAACAAUGUACAACUCCUGCAUUCACAGCCUCGCUGAGAAUAAUACUUGCAGGAGAGCAGGGCAUGGAAAAUGGUAGCUUUGGGGAAUACGAAGCUCGAGUUUUUGCUAUGGCUAUGGGGUCAGUUCCAGCUGCAGCAAUUUGUCUUUGGAUCUGCAUCCUCAUAUGGCUAUGCUUCACCUCAGUCAAAAAUUAAAUCCAGGAGGAUGCUAAGAGGUUAGCUCAGAAUGUAUUAAAAGUUAUGCAAGAAAGGUAAGUGUCCCUGGCCUCUUCUCCUGUGCAAGAGGGGCAGUAAAUCGGGUAGAAAAACAAUCAGAGCCCUGAAUUUGUUGAAAUAUGUGGCAGAGAAAGAGAAAACCCUUUGUGCUAGCCAUUUUCCUGCAUGGUGAGUCAGGGAAUUUAUGUGCCGUUAAGUGCUCGACAAAGACCGUCUCCGAGUAAAAACAUUACUCCUUCAAGCACUUGUGAACAGAGAGUCAGGAUCAGCCUACACAAUUAAGCUUUGCUUUCAGCAUCCAGUGUGCUAGACCGAUGCGCUCUUAUACGAUGAGGAAGGAACGUUAUCUACAAAGAAGGUUUAUAAGGAGUGAAUUAACUUUUCAUUAAGACAGAUCUAACUUUGAAAGCUAGAUUUUCUGACACGUGAUGAGAGCACUGUAUUAGCAUGGGAAUAUGCAUGUCUGCCACGCCUUACGGUUGUAUGACUGAGAUAAACACGUCCAGAAAAUCAUUCAUGCUCUUGGUCAGCACUCGAGUGAUAUGCGAGGACACUCCAUGGUCUAGAGUUAGUCAAGUUAUACAGUCAUUUGGAGAGUUUAGUUUAGUUAUACUCCUUUGAGCAAGUCAGAGCCCCUACUUGCGCAGAGCUGCUUCUCUGAAUUUUGUGUGAGAGGACAAAAGCAAACAUAAUUCCCCGUGCACAGGAGCAGCUGGAAGAGUGCUUGGAUUUACCCACGGGACCGUGCCCGAUACGUCUCAGUGUUCAUCAGACACUCACAAUUUUUGCACCGGUGUUUACUUGUGCAACUCUUGUUAACUCUUGUCAACAACUUCCUUAUACAUCUGCUGUGGUGUGCGCUGGCUGUGCUACUAUAAAUCCUUGUACUGAAUGUAGCUCUAAAGCUACCAGAGUUUCACAGGUAUCAAUCCUCCAACAUAAUUUUUAGAAAUAUAAAAUUAGGCAGUAACGUUGUUAACUUGGAACUCAUGUAUUUUCAGCUCAAGAGCUUCCUAAAAAAACACAUGGCAGAAAAGCAAAACAAACAACAACAUAAAUUCCGAGUUCGGUGCAAUUUGCAGCAAUGAUAGUUGUUCCAGUCCUGUCUUACACGGCCAGAAAAUAUUUAGAAUUACUUAUAUGUACGUGUGAUCCACUCUGCCAGACAAAACCGUGAGCUACAUAAAGACAGAUGUGAAAGAGCUGUGUAUUCUGUCACUUUACUGGUAGAUUGUAUCAUACGGAGACCAGCUGGAGUCAGCGAAAUGGUUCAUGCAACUGUUCGUAUUUAUCUAGAAGUUUUCAACAUGUUCAUUGAAACAAUACUUCUUUUUUUUACUCAAGAAAAAAAGUGUGCAGAGAAAUAGAAAUUAUCGGAGCUAUUCUGUAGGAUGCUAUAGCGGUCAAGGCUUGUUGCCUUCGUUUCAGUUCCAUGUGGAGAUGGGUGGAGUGUAGCAGUCACCAGACAGACUAAAACAAAGCGCUUGGAGCUGGCAGCCAGACCGAUACGACACAGUAAAAGUUGGCAACAAAGCCUGUGAAUCAUUCCAGAAGUAAAAUGGUAGGGAUUUACGCUUUGGACAAAUAUUCCUCUGCAGUAAAAAUAUAUGAAUCUUCAUCAAGAAACAAAUCUAAAAGAGGAUUUUUUUUUUUUUAAAGGGCUUCAAAAUUAAAUACCUCUGUUGUCCAGUAACUCUGGAGUUUAUAAGAGAAGACCAUCCAUUCCAGAGACCAACAACACAACCUGUGCAGCUAGGCAGCGAGAUAGCAGUAGGAAAUGACUUCACAGGAGCUUAUCACAUCUGGUUUUAAAGCUAGUAGAUUUCUUACUUUUUUUCUUUUUUAGUACUGCAAUCUCUGUAUGUCCCACAAAACCUUUUUCUCUGGCAGGAUUUAUGGAUUAGAUGACUGCUUUUAAUUUAUAUGGUUUUUAAUCUAUUUAUGAGCAGGAAUUUAUAUGCUUACAUAAAUACACCUACAGUACAGUGUACGGGUGUUCCCGCAGCUUCCUAUCGCUUCUGUGAAUAGCAGUUUGGGUUAUAUCAGCAAUGAAGAAAACUUCAUCUUCCUAAAAGAUCGAUAUAAAUACUUAUUACAUAGACUCUCUUGAUUAAUUAUCAGAAACCAAAACCAAACCAGAACAGUAGUCCAUUAACUGAGCUACAUAGCUAUUUUUAAUUUUUGCUAAUAUAUAUAAUUGUUAUCUGGAUUUAAUUUUUGACCAUUUGUAAACAUCUUCUUACAUUCUGAAUAUGGAAUUCAUUGACAGAAAGGGUGGUUAAACACUGGAAUAGGCUGGAUUCCUCCUCACCGCCCAAAGUACUUUGAAAUGACCACGUGGCAGGAUCUAGAAGAAUACUAUGGGAUAUUUUCCGCUGAUGUUCAAAUAUUGCGCUGCAGAGAUUUCAGCGUAAUAAAAAAAUAGAUUAUCGUGAGAUGGUAGACAGGUAAUGUUAUGAUAAGUAGGCUCUUGAGUUGGGCCAAAAUCAAAACGACCCAAACUGAACGGUGCAAAGUGAAAGAUGAGGCAGAUCUCUUUGCACCCGAUCCCUUCGAGGCCUAGAUCUCUAUGUUUUGCCAUUGAAAGUCCCUCUGAUGAGGCACAGCGCAGAAAAACAAGCGUGUAAGCCAGACAUCAGUCUCAGCAAAGUAAUAAUAUAUAAUUAUCAAAGAUCACAAUGCAAUCUCUCAGGGUGAAACUACCCAAAAGGCAUCUUUACUUGCAUCCUCACCAGCUUCAUUGGUAGUCAGCAAGUGAAACUCGAUCUUAUAGCUCUUAAUAGAUUUCUAUAUAUUGGCAUUGAAAGAAAGGAUUUCACAGGCAUCGUAGCCUGCAGUCUGCUAGAGUCUAUCUUUUCCUAAAGGGAUAAAUUACAGAAAAGUAGUUUUUAAUAAACAGGAACAAAAGAUGUGAGAGUGAUUUGAAAUAUUAGCAAGUUAUUUCAUGUUUUAAUACAUUUUUUAAAUCUAGAUAUAAAAAUAACCUUGGGUAUUUAUAUACGUAGACAUAGUUCUGUCUGACAACAUUAUAGUUAUAAUGUCAGAAAAUCAGGGUUCAAAAGAGGAAAGUCUGAGCAACGCUCAGGAUUUAUUUUCAUCUAUAAAAAAGUUGUUGAAGUCCUGUUCAAUUUUUUUCUAUUUCUUUUUCCAAAGUCAACAUUAUCCUGACUUUUCUGGGUUUUUUUCUUUUUUCUUUUUCUUUUUUUUCCCCAAGUUUGUCCUUAGAUAGCCUCAACAGUAGUGAAAUGAGUCAGAAGAUCCAAUGUUUUCUUUUUUUUUAAAUAACAGUUGUUUCACAACCGUAUCAAAAACAGAAGUCUACUUUCCCUCUGCCUCUAUAAUACUGACGCCUUCAUUGGCAUGAAAAGAAUUGUUGAUAAAAUCACUACGAGUAACCCACCAAAAUCUAUCUGAAAGUUUGUAUGGGAACUGUUAGGUCACGGCCUGCAGUAGCGAUUGAGCACCUGGUGAAGAGGCGUGGCUAGCCCUUGGAGCACAGGUGCAGACAAUUCACCUGUGCAAUGGGACAGAUGCACCCUGGGUAAACCUCCUCCCUCAUUUAAGGGCUGGCAGCGGAGGGGGAAGCAUCUGUUUUUGGAGAUCAUCGUCUCUCUGGAAGUUUUUAGUGAGCCUUUCCUUUGGAAUAAGGUAAGUGUUCUUUUCUUAUUAUUGACCUAUGACUAGCACCUUUCAAGUGGCAUCAUGAAACUGGAUGGAAGCAAAUUAAUUUGUUUCCUUCUCUGCCACAAAGUCAGAUAACAAAAAUAGCUUCUAAAAGCACCGAUCAAAGAAAUGAUGACUUAAUUGUAUUUAAUAAAUAAAAACAGGAACUUGAAAAAACUACAAAACCAAUAGAUGGUAAAAAUAACAAGAGAAUUAAAAACAACUCAGUGAUACAUGAUGAAGGGAUGUACCUUAUGUCACGUUUUAAGUAAGAAGUGAGGACCCUCUUACUCUUCUACUUAACUAAGGCUAAAUAGAUUCGAAGUAAGUAUGAAUCUGAACAACGUAAUCAGAGAAAGGGAAUAUUGUAUUACUUCAGCAACUAAACUACAAGAAUACAAUAUUUAAAAGAAGUUAACAACUUAAAAAAUAGCUUUAUAUCCUUGACAUAAAUGAUAAGUGAAUGAAAAAGAAAAUUGGUUUAAAGGAUGAUUACUGUAAUCCUUUAAAAAAAAAAAAACACCAAGAUUAAUAACAAAUAAUAUAGUAGGAACUCAAAAGCAAAAGAAAAACUAGGAUAAAUGAUCAGCUAUUUCUGAUGGAGGAGGGGAAAAAAGGCCAUAGUAAAAUAUUUUGGUUGAUUCAAUACGAAUUGCACUUUGUAUUGAAUGAUUAAAACAUAAUUAUAAGUGGUAUCUGUGAUGUUUAAAGCGCCGAAAACUACUUAAUUUAAUAAAGCAAGCAAUGGAAAACUAAGGAAAGAGAGAAUGCUGUAAAAAAAAAAAAAAAAAAAAAAAAAAAAAAAAUUCAGCUUCAAUGAGGCAUUCAGUGAAGAAUAUAGAAGAAGGAAAAAAAAAAAAAAAAACCACUAAGUGUAAGUAGAUGCGGAUGUGUCCCGUUGCUCACAGGCCCUCCAGUGGAUGCACCCAAUUGCUAGGCACACCCUCAUGUAGAAGCACCCUGUUGCUGUUGAGACAGUCCUGUAGACCUUAUUAUGUUUCUGCCAGUUAUUGCAGUUAACACGCUUUGCUUCUUGCUGCUCAGUACUAUUGUAAAUUAGGCUUUAUUGCUACAUCCAAAUAACUGUUUUGAUAAUUUUAAAGCAAAUUCUCCCAAUGAAUAUUCUAAACUGUUACUAAUCUACCCAAAUUCUUGUCCUUUACUAGGGCCUUUUACAGUAUUUUCUGGAAAAUGUUUCAUUUAUAUGGUCAAUUAAAAUACCUUGCUUUAACCAUUAUUGCUUAUAUGUGAAAGACCCAAACCAGCCCUGCCCGAUGAGAACUAGAUUCAAAUGUACUAUCAAAUAAAAAAAAAAACACCACUAUAUUCUGUAUUUUCUUAUAUGACUUGAUGGAACAGUCUUGAAAGUAUUUGUGUGUUAGUGAUCCUUUAUACUGGAAAAUAUUAUACGAGCUGCAUCGUUGAACUUGUAUUUUGCUCCUGGAGGCAGCCCUUUCAAAACACAGCUGAGCAUCUCAGCCAGCACUCGGUGGCAAGGCUGGAAUUGCUUAUUUUGUGCAUGUACUUGAGUUCAAAUUUUCCAACACUGCUGGCAGCUAGUAGGAUUUUUCUUAAGAAAGAAAUGGAAGAGAAAUCCUUAUUUUGGUAUUCCAUCUAAAGGAAGAGUUUUCAAACAACCAGAAAAAGAGGCACAACUUCAUAGUCUUGGAAAUCUCUGUUUAUGGAGUUUGUAAGGGCUGAGGGGCUACAUAAGCAGGAUGCUGUUAGUUUGAACUAUUAUCAGUUUUAAAGGAUGCUGAGUUUGUGGAUUACUGGUAUUAAUAAUGUUUAGCCAAAAAGGAAACUGCAGCUUAUAGUCUUACAGCUCACUUAUUCAAUUAAAAAGUUUGGCCCCACAUUUGAUCCUGCAGCCAAGAACUGAUUUCUGGUCACUGUACCCUGUGGUUAGAGGAUAACACAGAUGCAAAUGCCAGCCCUGAGGCUAUGCUCCCUUAAGAAUGCAAAUACUUUCAUAUAAUAAGGUAAGGAAAAUACAUAAGAUUUCCAGGAAAGGAAAUCAGUGUAUGCUCCUUAUCAGCGCUGCUCCUAGCUAUACUGGCUCCUUGUUAGCGAUGCUUUUAAAAUGCAUUGAAUAGUUGAAGCACUUACUCCAGAAGAGACACUUGUGCUGAAAGGAUGAGUAGAAACAACAUAAACGGGUUUGAUUGUUUGUUUUAAUUAUCUGUGAAUCUCUAUUGCAGAUUUGUUGUCUGUCAUGGCAGAAAUACAGUGUUUAUAUCUUGGAAGGAGUAUCAAUUACUAACAAAGAUGGUGAAGAAAGAGCACAAUUGUCCAUGACAAAUUACACCACAAACAGUACCAUAAUCUGGCAUGCUGAAUUCUCAUACUUCAGAGCUCAAAGAGAAGAAGAAUACAUAAAUUCCGAAUCCGUGAUAGAAUCGUAGAAUGGCCUGGGUAUCAUCAUCUAAGUUCAAGCUGCGUGCAAGGUGACCGAUGACCAGGCUCCCCCUUCCAUCCUGGCCUUGAACACCUCCAGGACUGGGGCAUCCGCUAUCUCCUUGGGCAACCUGUUCCAGCAAAGUGUUUGUCAUCAUCCUACAACCCUCCAUAUCCGAUAUGCUUCAGCAUUAUGUGUGGUGCUCUCAUCAGCUUCGUUUGCCCUGAGUAUCAGACAGCUUUUGGUGCCAAAUUCUUCUCAUCUUGCUUCUCAGCCACUUCAAACCUGGCUUAUCUCCUACUUUGAUUCUCAACUCCUCCUCCAUGGAGCCUUCAUGGAGCAUUCAGCCUUCCUGAUAACCUGGUUCCAGGCUGUGAUCAGUAUGUACAGAGACUACAAGCUCUUGCUGAACAAAAACCUUCAUGCGACUACAUUUGCUACAUUACCAAGACUACUGGAAGUCACCUGCAUUAAUACACUCCUGUUGGUACAGAAAUCAAACAAUUCUUAGAUCAUCUCCGACGCAAAACGUGAGCUUCGCUUAUUGUGGAUCUCCUUCAACCUCAGCUGGGCGCUGGAUAUACUUUGUCUCCGGGAGUUUCUUUCUGUCCGCAUACUUAAGUUAUGUAUUUUAUCUAUUACUUCUCAUGUGUUAAGACAUUUAUUUCUAUAUUCCAGUGGCUUAUAUUACUCAAGAACUAUACGUGCUUCCUUGCUUCAUCCCCGAAUUAAAAGCAAAACAAACAAACAAAGAAAAAAACACAAAACUCACAGUGCAGUAAAGCACUCUACAACGAUGCAGUGAAAACCAGAUUUCUUACCUUAUCUGAACUUUCCUUCAGUUAAGAAUUUUGUUUCUUACCGAGUUCACUCAAAUUCUCUCACUUUACUGGAAGCUAAAUUUCAGAAAUAAGUUAUGAAAUGUUUCCACCCUCAAAUUUCAAAAACAAACAUUUUAAUGACAUCAAACUAUUUGAAUUCUAAGGGAAAGCCUUUAUUUUCUUCUUUAUGUGAAGCGGAACUGGAACAGCCCAUGAAAAAUAAAUGAAUUUCGAAAAAUGUCUACUAUGAAUUAUUUCUAAAAUAUUAAUAGACAAUGAUACAAUAUAGUUAAAACACAAUUACGGUAUAAAAAAAACAACACAAACCUCAGUAAACUUUUCAUUUUCCUGGCUCUACUUUCUUUAAACAGUAAAUUAAUUUUUAAAAAAUACUCCAACCGCUACUACGUAUUGAAACCCAUCCUGCAUUUUAGCUUCCCUGCCCAUAUCCGAGAAUAGGAAGUUUCAAUUUUAUAUUUUCAGAAAACCUACAUUAAAUCUGUUGAAAACCCUAUUUCUAACAUUCAUCUUUUGUUAAACUAUUAGGACAAAAUAACUUCCCGACCGUGGAGUUUUAAUGCUAGGCAUGAGCACCAUUUGGCACCAGUGCCAAGAUUGGAAAUCCAGACCUGUAUUUGAACACGUACGUUUUGUAUCUCACGCAUUUUUGUUGUCUUUGAGGAGAAGAGCAUUUCCGAAGAAAGCUUGCAGCUAGGAGGACUUUCUCAUCUUUCAUUUUAUUUUGAGAAUUAUUUUUAAAAGAAAGGUAAAUUUGUACAAAAUGAAAAAUAGACCUUCAGACUGCGGUAUUUUGACGACAUUCCUCAAGUGCCUCCUCAGGGCUCUGCUCAUAAAAUACUCCACGCAGAGAGUAGUUCCGAUGUCUUAGCAGUUUCAAAAUUUUCCUUUCCUCUGCAAUGUAAUCUCAAUUUAUUUAUUUAUUUAUUUUUGAAUAAGCUUCUGUUUCCCAGCAUUUGAAUGGCAUUGUAGCUUUGUAAUGUGUUUUUGUUCCUUUCAGACUAAAAGUAAAUAAGAACGGGACCAACUUGGCAAGAAUAAAACCAUGUAUUUGCUCGAGCAACAUUUCAAGAACACCUGCACAGCUAUUUUGGCAAUGCGCUGGUAGCUCUAUUCAGCCUUCCUCGUCUGUUAUCCACCUUCAGAUAUCGACUCUUUUAAUCAACAUCUCCGAGGAACAGUUCGUCAAUAACGGUAGCGUGGGCAAUACAAGAGUGGAGCGAAUCAACGUCCACCUUCACCCAAGACAGUACCUAAAUAAAUUUUAAAUAAACCAUUCCAACUGUUGGUUUCAAACUAAAGUAGUGUUUUCUAAAGGAAGAAAUCUGGGAAACAUACUUUAAAAAAAGGACACCGUAAAGAGAAGCUUAUUCAACUUGGUAAUAUUUUAAAUAAUUGAAACAAUUGCUUUCUACUGCAAAAAGAUGAAGCAUUUAAAAACGUUAAGAAAGAACAUCUCUCAAGUCUGAGAAAAACUUCUUCCCAGCACCAUCUGAAGCCGUUUUGACUAAUUCAACCUGACUGCAUCAGCAGGUCUUGAUCCUGCAACUGAGAAAGUUCAGUACUCAAAAACACCGAUCAAUAAUAUAUCUCAAUUCGUGUUGUGCAUAUUUUCCCCUUCGACGCUGUCUUUAAGCGUGUCUAUUUGGGUUCUUGUUUGGAAACGAUAUUACAUACUUAAAGCAUGAGUUUUUUUUCACUCAAUAAAUAACUUGCCAACUUACUUGAAAAUCCUCUCCUACUUUGUUGAGUGCAAUGUUGAUUGUGAACGUAGAAGAGUCAUGAUGAGGUCUGAGCGAUCGUUGUCUGUCAGGGCUAUAUUUUACAACAAAAUUCAAUAAAGCGUAUCCCUGAAACAAAAUAUACGGUCAGACUUCAACACGUGAACUUCGGUGUCACACGCAGGGCGGUGGGUUUUCUUUACUUAUUUACAACUCAGUUAAGAACGCAACGCUCAGCUGUAAUACUGCCACAUCACUCGUAAACUCACCAAACAAAGCAAACAGUUCAAUAAAAUGUGUAGAAUUAUUUAUUCCAUUCAGAGAUUAUAUGCAACUUUUAAACACGUACCUUGGUAUAAUAACCAGCAAACACUUUUAAUGUUACUGGUGCAAUGAAUUCUCUGAUGAAGUGCAGCCAUUCGUUAUCCAGUCCAAUUUGCUUCAUAUGGAUAUCAUCAGUCGGGACGUUUUCAUAACCGCCAGAAAUACGGCUGUCCUAACACAAACACCAUAAAUAGCUUUGAAAUAUGAGAGUGGACUGCUUCUGGCAGUUCUACAAAUAUGUAGAAUAUGCAGAAUCACAAAACUGCAGAGUAAUGCUUUAGUGGACGUAUCUGAGCUUGAUGCAAAAUAAUCUCACAGCCAACUGCUGUGAUGUAAAUUGCUGAGAUGUCGAUGGGCAAGAACCGGACAGUUCUUAGAAGGUUCAAAUGUUAUUUCAGAAGCAUUUGCAAUCAAGAUUUAUGGCGGGAAGGCAUUCCCCCUUGGAUAUUUUCUUAUUUUUAAUCUACGCUUUUGUCUGAAAGAGAGUCAAGUCGUUAGAAUGAUAAUGAUUGUUAAACACGUGCCUUGUUUUGGGCACCUAUCAAAUCAUAAAGUAGCUGCAGCAGGGAGAAUAAGGAGGGUCUGGCUUAGGAAAAACAGUCUAAAUGACACCGAUUUCACAAAAGCCCUACGUUUACCGAGGGGCCCUGGCUGACCUGCUUGCCAUUGGAGCUUUACUAGGACCGCUGAAUCAAUCUUAUCCGCUGGAACACAUCUUUAGCACACCUUGACCUCAGCAAUGAGAAACCUCCCCGGGAAAAUAAGCAGCCUAUGUCACUUGGAGCCAGUCAUAAAGAAACUGUCCCUGGUGCUAAUUUGUACCCUACAAGACUGAAGAGAAAGAUGGAGUGAUAUUUUGUGAGGAAUAAGGACAGAGGAGAAAGAUCUUCCUGUGGUAAAAUAACACUGUAUGUAAUAAGAACUAAUGAUUUAAAACAAAAAAUAAAGCAACACCUUUGGGGGUCUGAGCAUAUGGAAUGUUUCCGAAGAAGGGGAGUCUUUUUCCCUUUGUAAAGUCUAAAAUGAAGGAGAAUCAUCACAUCAGUUUUCUGAUACACAGUUUCUCUGUUUGUCCAAGAACUACCAGAUUUCCACAGUUACAAAAGGGAAAUAGCAGCCUUUGACAAAAGCUGAUACGCCUUUACAGACAACAUGCAUCUCCAAGCAAAGCUCACAAUGUACACGUCAAAGCUGUUUCCGCCAGCCCCUUCUUAUCUGCUGCAAUACAAAAACAAGCACGUACCGAACCAUCUUACAGCACAGACUGAGAAAGAAGAAAAAAAAAAAAAAAAAAAAAGGAGAAAGCCAUUUUUUCUGAUGAGCCACAGUCAGAUUAGUUGAACGAGCGCACGGGAAGCACAGGUUCGCAAUAACUGAUGCUGAGAAGGUUUGAAUACAACAGAAUUGGAUGGGAACAUUCUGAGGAAUCAGUACACACAAAAGAAAUCAUGCCUUGUUAUGAGGGAAUAAAAAAAAUAAUACUUGCCAACUUUUCUUGUUCAAUUCAGCAAUAUUAUUUUUCAAUGCUAUAGUGUCUGGAAAUAGGUCUGGUUUAGCUCUUAUUUGUUUCUGUGCUGAAACUAGUGUAAAUAUCAGCAGAAAUGUAGAUUUACAUAUUCAUAUUUUUACAGUACAAAUAAUCUUUCUCUCGUUACUUACAGCUCAAAGUAACAAAUUUCUGAUACAGUUUUAAUGUGACCUGGAAGAAUUAAGGAGUAAGUCCUGUACUCCAAGAAGAUUCCUACCAUUGCAUAAAUCACUCAGGUUUUUAUACCGGCGCUGUCCGUUAUUAUUUUAAAACUUAUACAUUACACUGCAGAAUGCUUCAACUUAAUCUGCUAAAAGUUUCUUAUUCUGUAAAAAUGUAAAAAAGGUAAAGAAAUUCUACGUGCAAUGAUAAAUUUCAAAUCACGCAU